Long non-coding RNA from Myodes glareolus (Bank vole), 571 nucleotides. RefSeq lists it as uncharacterized. Lineage: Eukaryota; Metazoa; Chordata; Mammalia; Rodentia; Cricetidae. The record is from RefSeq and is a predicted model, not a curated record.
GCCAGGGCUUGUGAGAGGGCUCGAGGAGACCAGUAGUUCCAGAGACACGCUGGAUCACAACUGUCCGCAUCUGACAGUUCUUGGAGAGCUGAAGACCGUUGAUCAGGUUGAGGGCUGACACAGGGCACCUCGGAACGCGCUGUCCGGGCAUCAUGUGGCCACCACUGGUGUUGCUGUUCCUGCUACUUCCUGCGGCCCAUGGCGCCCCUCACCCGGCUGUCGACCUCCAGGAAAGCUUUCCAAGCGUACUCGAAGAAAUCCCCACUGAAGGAGAAAGAGGCUUGUGGAGGGAAGACAACCCGUUUGCUGGCCCCCGCUGUCCGCCUGCCUCAUGAGGUGCCCGCUGUGUGGUCCAGAAGCUGGGGAGGAGGACCUGUGGCCUCAUGAGGGCCUACCAGUCACAGGAUUGGGGGCUCCCCACUCCUGUUCCCAAGACCCACUUCUUGUCCUCUCCAGGGCCCUUCAGCUGCUGGAUGGGUUGGGGGUGGACACCAGUAUCCUCGCGGGGACAGACGCGGACCUCACCAGACCCACCUGCAGCAUCAUUUAAAAAUAAAAGUUAUUUCCUCAA